GAACUUCACCGGGUGGUCUGCCGCAAGGUGUGUACUGCUGGUUGAGGUUCAACACUACUCGAAGACCGUGCGUGCUCUUCACUGAGAUGCGUAAGGGACUCGAGGCUUUUACUUUGAAAAAAUUAGAGUGUUUAAAGCAAGCAUUCGCUUGAAUACAUUAGCAUGGAAUAAUAGAAUAGGACUUUGGUUCUAUUUUGUUGGUUUAGGGCCGAAGUA
RNAcentral lists this ribosomal RNA (216 nucleotides) under uncultured fungus. RNAcentral's name for it is "partial small subunit ribosomal RNA". The stretch from base 92 to 216 matches the Rfam family "Eukaryotic small subunit ribosomal RNA", at positions 735 to 864 of the family's 1831-position model. The record is from RNAcentral. Lineage: Eukaryota; Fungi.